This 300-nucleotide ribosomal RNA is filed under the name uncultured Prevotella sp. RNAcentral describes it as "bacterial SSU rRNA". It matches the Rfam family "Bacterial small subunit ribosomal RNA", at positions 494 to 795 of the family's 1533-position model. The record is from RNAcentral. Lineage: Bacteria; Pseudomonadati; Bacteroidota; Bacteroidia; Bacteroidales; Prevotellaceae.
CGGCACGGCUUGCGAGCAGAGGUGGAAAUAAGAAGGGUGGAAACGUUGUUAGGAAGUAUUGGGCGUAAAGCGCACGUAGGCGGCGCUGCAAGUCGGAUGUGAAAUCUUAUGGCUUAACCAUAAAAGUGCAUCCGAAACUGCAGUGCUUGAGUACUUAAGAGGAUCGCGGAAUUCCCGGUGUAGAGGUGAAAUUCGUAGAUAUCGGGAGGAACACCAGUGGCGAAGGCGGCGAUCUGGGAAGAUACUGACGCUGAGGUGCGAAAGCGUGGGGAGCAAACAGGAUUAGAUACCCGAGUAGUC